RNAcentral lists this ribosomal RNA (492 nucleotides) under uncultured bacterium. RNAcentral describes it as "partial 16S ribosomal RNA". It matches the Rfam family "Bacterial small subunit ribosomal RNA", at positions 29 to 507 of the family's 1533-position model. The record is from RNAcentral.
AGUGAACGCUGGCGGUAGGCCUAACACAUGCAAGUCGAACGGCAGCACAGUAAGAUCUUGCUCUUACGGGUGGCGAGUGGCGGACGGGUGAGGAAUACAUCGGAAUCUACUUUUUCGUGGGGGAUAACGUAGGGAAACUUACGCUAAUACCGCAUACGACCUACGGGUGAAAGCAGGGGAUCUUCGGACCUUGCGCGAUUGAAUGAGCCGAUGUCGGAUUAGCUAGUUGGCGGGGUAAAGGCCGACCAAGGCGACGAUCCGUAGCUGGUCUGAGAGGAUGAUCAGCCACAAUGGAACUGAGACACGGUCCAGACUCCUACGGGAGGCAGCAGUGGGGAAUAUUGGACAAUGGGCGCAAGCCUGAUCCAGCCAUACCGCGUGGGUGAAGAAGGCCUUCGGGUUGUAAAGCCCUUUUGUUGGGAAAGAAAAGCAGCAGGUUAAUACCCCGCUGUUCUGACGGUACCCAAAGAAUAAGCACCGGCUAACUUCGUG